This 187-nucleotide unclassified non-coding RNA is filed under the name uncultured Capnodiales. RNAcentral describes it as "sequence contains ITS2". Lineage: Eukaryota; Fungi; Ascomycota; Dothideomycetes; Capnodiales. The record is from RNAcentral.
AACAACACUCAAGCCUGGCUUGGUAUUGGGCCUUAGAGACCAGUUCGGGCCCCAAAUUCGUUGGCUAUAAACUAGUAAAUGGGAGGUCCUGUAGCAUGGCGCCGCAACUAUCGACACAUUUUUGCGCGCGCGGAGUUUGUCCCGCCCUGCCUUACGCGUUCGCAUCGGUGACUCGGACUGAACAGAA